CCUACGGGUGGCAGCAGUGGGGAAUAUUGCACAAUGGGGGAAACCCUGAUGCAGCAACGCCGCGUGAGUGAAGAAGUAUUUCGUUAUGUAAAGCUCUAUCAGCAGGGAAGAAAAUGACGGUAUCUGAGUAAGAAGCCCCGGCUAACUACGUGCCAGCAGCCGCGGUAAUACGUAGGGGGCAAGCGUUAUCCGGAUUUAUGGGGUUUAAAGGGUGCGUAGGGGGGCUUUUAAGUCAGCGGUAAAAACUCGGGGCUAAACCCCGACCGGCCGUUGAAACUGGGGGGCUUGAGUGGGCGAUAAGAAGGCGGAAUGCGUGGUGUAGCGGUGAAAUGCGUAGAUAUCACGCGGAACACCGAUGGCGAAGGCAGCCUUCCGGAGCCCUACUGACGCUGAGGCGCGAAAGUGCGGGGAGCGAACAGGAUUAGAUACCCUAGUAGUC
Molecule: ribosomal RNA, 439 nt
Filed under: uncultured bacterium
Lineage: Bacteria
Description: partial 16S ribosomal RNA
Rfam family: Bacterial small subunit ribosomal RNA
Source: RNAcentral